GCGCAGUCGCAGUGAACACGACCAAGCAAUACAACCGUAUUGGAAAGCGGCGUCGGAGAAACGAUGCAAUGGGCAAGUGAGGUCCUUAAACUAUUGCAACCUCGGUAUCGCUCGCCAAUACUGCAUUAUCACUAUCAUCCUAACCCUGCACGUGUUUUCGGGUCGAGUCGUCUGCAAAUAGCGUAUCUCCGGACUGGGCCGAAAAUGCCCGAUUUUUUGUUUCUGUGAAGUGCAUCUCCGAAAAUUUGAAUCGUUCGAUACACAUCUAUCUUGAAGUGAACCGGCGUCUGUGAAUGGUGACUCGACAUUGCAUCUACUAUCAUGCUUCGAGUAUGCAAUCUCAUGUGGAGGUGGUUGCUUUGGGUCCAAGUACUCCUAGUAAUCAUUAAAGUCUCCGCGGUUGCCGAUUUGAGUGGAGGUCUAUGUCAUGAAUUUCGGUAGAAGUCCAGGUUAUCCGGAUCUGUUGUUUUCCUUUGUAGGGCAAGUAAUUUAAACUUUUUAUCAGUUUAUUUAUGGCAUACUUUUUUUAAAAACAAAAAUCUGUUUCCUGAUUACUGCUCCUGCCUGAGGCCGAGCGGAUAAGACCGCUGACUUCUGACAAUUCAACCCGGGUUCAAACAAAAUAGUUUAGGUAUUGAUUCAAAUCUUAGCGAAUGGGCUGGUUGCCUGGAUGUUUUCGCGGUUUUCUUCAUGUCAAAGUUCCCAUGCCAUACUGUCAACACUGAAAUAUGAAAACCCGGAAGGUCGUGUCGUCUAAAACCAGGUAGCACCAUUAAAAAAAAAAAAAAAAA
Stegodyphus dumicola is the source of this 791-nucleotide long non-coding RNA. NCBI's taxonomy places the organism in Eukaryota, Metazoa, Arthropoda, Arachnida, Araneae, Eresidae. The record is from RefSeq and is a predicted model, not a curated record.